GUUAAUCCAGCCUCUAAUGGCAGUCUCAUUGACAGCCGCUAGAGGCGCUUGUCACUGUGAUUUUCACAGUGAGAAGACGCUGCCGUCCAUAGGAAAGCAUUGAGAAAUGCUUUCCUAUGGACUGAUUGAAUGCGCGCGCAGCUCUUGCCGCACAUGCGCAUUCACCACUGACGUCGGAAGAGGGAGGAGAGCCCCCAGCGCAGAAGGAGC
Non-coding RNA from Pelobates cultripes (western spadefoot toad), 210 nucleotides. The record is from the annotation of a GenBank genome assembly. NCBI's taxonomy places the organism in Eukaryota, Metazoa, Chordata, Amphibia, Anura, Pelobatidae.